RNAcentral lists this long non-coding RNA (201 nucleotides) under Homo sapiens (human). RNAcentral's name for it is "HSALNT0094686". The record is from RNAcentral. Lineage: Eukaryota; Metazoa; Chordata; Mammalia; Primates; Hominidae.
AGGAAGUCAGAGUCCCCAGAAGUCAGCCAGUGGGCAGAGGCCUGGGUCUCUGGACCGGGAGCUGCUGAUGCUGAUCAAAAUCAGCAAGUGCUUAAGAGUACCUAGUGGGCCUAGCUCAGUGCUGGGGACAGAAAGCACAGGCCCUGUCCCUGGGGAGCUUGUCCUUUGUCAGCAGGAUGCAGGUGCUACACAGGAAGGUGU